UGGGGAAUAUUGCACAAUGGGCGCAAGCCUGAUGCAGCCAUGCCGCGUGUAUGAAGAAGGCCUUCGGGUUGUAAAGUACUUUCAGCGGGGAGGAAGGGAGUAAAGUUAAUACCUUUGCUCAUUGACGUACCCGCAGAAGAAACACCCGCUAACCUCGUGCCAGCAGCCGCGGUAAUACGGAGGGUGCAAGCGUUAAACGGAAUUACUGGGCGUAAAGCGCACGCAGGCGGUUUGUUAAGUCAGAUGUGAAAGCCCCGGGCUAAACCUGAGAACUGCAACUGAUACUGGCAAACGUGAGUCUCGUAGAGGGGGGUAGAAUUCCAGGUGUAGCGGUGAAAUGCGUAGAGAUCUGGAGGAAUACCGGUGGCGAAGGCGGCCCCCUGGACGAAGACUGACGCUCAGGUGCGAAAGCGUGGGGAGCAAACAGG
This 428-nucleotide ribosomal RNA is filed under the name Chloroflexota bacterium. RNAcentral describes it as "Chloroflexi bacterium partial 16S ribosomal RNA". It matches the Rfam family "Bacterial small subunit ribosomal RNA", at positions 355 to 776 of the family's 1533-position model. Lineage: Bacteria; Bacillati; Chloroflexota. The record is from RNAcentral.